AAACAAUGCUCUGUGCAGCUGGGGCUCUCUGGCAUGACUGCAGUAAUCCUGAACUCGCUGUAAACUGCUUUUUCAUUCAACCCAACUUGGAAAAAGGCAGACAGGCUGUAGUCUAAACACCCCAAGAGUCUCUAUGUGCUUUGUUCCAGCACACUGCGCUCUCCUGUGAUUUAAAACAAUGUGUCUUUGUGCUUAUCUUCUGGGCUUGGCAAGGCAGGAUUUACCUCUGAGUUUUUGUCUCAACAGGAGAAAUUGCUGUCUAACAGAUCCUUUGUGGACUUCCGACCAAAACCAUCCAGUGCAACAUAUGAGGACAGUCAGAAGAGAAGGAGUAGCCAAGCUCUUCCAGGCACCGUGGGCAUCUCCCACAGCACCACUCAGGAACUGAGGCUAUGUUGUGCUUCCUUUUCCCUGGCUUUAGGAGUGCAAGGUGCAAAGUACAUAAAGAUCCAUCCUCUAUGUCCUCACACACAACAGAAUCACCUUGAAG
Molecule: long non-coding RNA, 490 nt
Filed under: Chloebia gouldiae (Gouldian finch)
Lineage: Eukaryota; Metazoa; Chordata; Aves; Passeriformes; Passeridae
Description: Erythrura gouldiae (Gouldian finch) lncRNA (ENSEGOG00005018693.1)
Source: RNAcentral